GUCCACGCUGUAAACGAUUGAUGCUAGAUGUCGGGGGUAUUGACCCCUCCGGCGUCGCAGCUAACGCAUUAAGCAUCCCGCCUGGGGAGUACGGCCGCAAGGCUAAAACUCAAAGGAAUUGACGGGGGCCCCGCACAAGCGGUGGAGCAUGUGGUUUAAUUCGACGCAACGCGCAGAACCUUACCUGGGUUAAAUCCACUGGAACCUUGCAGAGAUGUAGGGGUGCCCUUCGGGGAGCCAGUGAGAAGGUGCUGCAUGGCUGUCGU
This 266-nucleotide ribosomal RNA is filed under the name uncultured bacterium. RNAcentral describes it as "partial 16S ribosomal RNA". It matches the Rfam family "Bacterial small subunit ribosomal RNA", at positions 793 to 1055 of the family's 1533-position model. The record is from RNAcentral.